Molecule: ribosomal RNA, 1060 nt
Filed under: Zoophthora radicans
Lineage: Eukaryota; Fungi; Entomophthoromycota; Entomophthoromycetes; Entomophthorales; Entomophthoraceae
Description: SSU rRNA
Rfam family: Eukaryotic small subunit ribosomal RNA
Source: RNAcentral
ACAUUUAUAUAGUGAAACUGCGAAUGGCUCAUUAAAUCAGUUAUAAUUUACUUGAUAAUUUUAUACCAGUGGAUAACCGUGGUAAUUCUAUGGCUAAUACAUACAUUAAAGGGCUUUGCUAUGCAAAGCCUGUAGUUAUUAGAUACAAAACCAAUGCAUGCAAAUGCUUAUUUGGUGACUCAUAGUAAACUUACAGAUCGUUGCUUUUGCGACGUGUCAAUCAAAUUUCUGCCCUAUCAACUUUCGAUGGUAAGGUAGUGGCUUACCAUGGUUGUAACGGGUGACGGGGAAUAAGGGUUCUAUUCCGGAGAGGGAGCCUGAGAAACGGCUACCACAUCCAAGGAAGGCAGCAGGCGCGCAAAUUACCCAAUCCUAAUACAGGGAGGUAGUGACAAUAAAUAACAAUCCAGGGCCCUUAUGGGUCAUGGAAUUGGAAUGAAUACAAAUUAAAACUCUUAAUGAGGAACCAUUGGAGGGCAAGUCUGGUGCCAGCAGCCGCGGUAAUUCCAGCUCCAAUAGCGUAUAUUAAAGUUGUUGCAGUUAAAACGCCCGUAGUCGAAUUUUUGAGGGUAGGAAGGUUAAGAGGGGUGCUGGCUUUUGUUAGUAUUCCUCUUUUCUUUUAGACCCUCAUUUUAAAUUCCUGGUCUUUGGGCCUAUUUGCAACUUUACUGGUGUAGAUAGGUCAUUUCCUUUUGGUGGGCCAGGAAUGAUUACUUUGAAAAAAUUAGAGUGUUCAAAGCGGGCUUUUUAAGCCGAAUACAUUAGCAUGGAAUAAUAAAAUAGGACUAUGGUUUUAUUUUGUUGGUUUAUAAAACUAAAGAAAUGAUGAAUAGGUUUGGUUGGGGACAUUAGUAUUUAAUAGUCAGAGGUGAAAUUCUUGGAUUUAUGAAAGACUAACUUCUGCGAAAGCAUUUGUCAAGGACAAACCCAUUGAUCAAGGACGAAAGUUGGGGGAUCGAAGAUGAUUAGAUACCGUCGUAGUCUCAACCAUAAACUAUGCCAACUAGGGAUUGGGCCUGAUCUGAUCAGGCUCAGCACCUUGUGAGAAAUCCAAAGUUUU